ACAAUGGAGAGUUUGAUCCUGGCUCAGGAUGAACGCUAGCGGCAGGCUUAAUACAUGCAAGUCGUGGGGCAGCAUGGGGUAGCAAUACUCUGAUGGCGACCGGCAAACGGGUGCGGAACACGUACGCAACCUUCCUUUAACUGGAGAAUAGCCCCUCGAAAGAGGGAUUAAUACUCCGUAACAUAUCGAUAAGGCAUCUUAUUGAUAUUAUAGCUCCGGCGGUUAAAGAUGGGCGUGCGCCUGAUUAGGUAGUUGGCGGGGUAACGGCCCACCAAGCCUACGAUCAGUAACUGGUGUGAGAGCACGACCAGUCACACGGGCACUGAGACACGGGCCCGACUCCUACGGGAGGCAGCAGUAAGGAAUAUUGGUCAAUGG
RNAcentral lists this ribosomal RNA (378 nucleotides) under Bacteroidota bacterium. Its description in RNAcentral is "bacterial SSU rRNA". It matches the Rfam family "Bacterial small subunit ribosomal RNA", at positions 1 to 374 of the family's 1533-position model. The record is from RNAcentral. Lineage: Bacteria; Pseudomonadati; Bacteroidota.